This 439-nucleotide ribosomal RNA is filed under the name uncultured bacterium. Its description in RNAcentral is "partial 16S ribosomal RNA". It matches the Rfam family "Bacterial small subunit ribosomal RNA", at positions 339 to 795 of the family's 1533-position model. The record is from RNAcentral.
CUACGGGCUGCUGCAGUGGGGAAUAUUGCACAAUGGGGGAAACCCUGAUGCAGCAACGCCGCGUGGAGGAUGACGCAUUUCGGUGUGUAAACUCCUUUUAUAUAGGAAGAUAAUGACGGUACUAUAUGAAUAAGCACCGGCUAACUCCGUGCCAGCAGCCGCGGUAAUACGGAGGGUGCAAGCGUUACUCGGAAUCACUGGGCGUAAAGCGCGCGCAGGCGGCCCCUUAAGUUGGAUGUGAAAGCCUCCGGCUUAACCGUAGAACUGCAUCCAAAACUGAGGGGCUAGAGUCUGGGAGGGGAAGAUGGAAUUAGUUGUGUAGGGGUAAAAUCCGUAGAGAUAACUAGGAAUAGCAAAAGCGAAGGCGAUCUUCUGGAACAGUACUGACGCUGAGGCGCGAAAGCGUGGGGAGCAAACAGGAUUAGAUACCCCCGUAGUC